This 328-nucleotide unclassified non-coding RNA is filed under the name soil metagenome. Its description in RNAcentral is "partial contains 5.8S ribosomal RNA, internal transcribed spacer 2, and large subunit ribosomal RNA". The stretch from base 1 to 120 matches the Rfam family "5.8S ribosomal RNA", at positions 35 to 154 of the family's 154-position model. The record is from RNAcentral.
GAUGAAGAACGUAGCGAAAUGCGAUAAGUAGUGUGAAUUGCAGAAUUCAGUGAAUCAUCGAAUCUUUGAACGCACAUUGCGCCCCUUGGUAUCCCGAGGGGCAUGCCUGUUCGAGCGUCAUUUCACCCCUCAAGCCUGGCUUGGUGUUGGGCGACGUCCUCUUUGGGGACGCGCCUCGAAACGCUCGGCGGCGUGGCACCGGCUUUAAGCGUAGCAGAAUCUUUCGCUUUGGAAGUCGGGGCCCCGUCUGCCGGAAGACCUGCUCGCAAGGUUGACCUCGGAUCAGGCAGGGAUACCCGCUGAACUUAAGCAUAUCAAUAACGGAGGA